AGUGAACGCUGGCGGCAGGCCUAACACAUGCAAGUCGAACGGCAGCACAAGAGAGCUUGCUCUCUGGGUGGCGAGUGGCGGACGGGUGAGGAAUGCAUCGGAAUCUGCCCAUUUGUGGGGGAUAACCUCGGGAAACCGGGACUAAUACCGCAUACGACCUACGGGUGAAAGCAGGGGAUCUUCGGACCUUGCGCAGAUGGAUGAGCCGAUGCCGGAUUAGCUAGUUGGAGGGGUAAAGGCCCACCAAGGCGACGAUCCGUAGCUGGUCUGAGAGGAUGAUCAGCCACACUGGAACUGAGACACGGCCCAGACUCCUACGGGAGGCAGCAGUGGGGAAUGUUGGACAAUGGGCGCAAGCCUGAUCCAGCCAUGCCGCGUGUGUGAAGAAGGCCUUCGGGUUGUAAAGCACUUUUGUUGGGAAAGAAAAGCAGCCGGUUAAUACCCGGUUGUCAUGACGGUACCCAAAGAAUAAGCACCGGCUAACUUCGUG
RNAcentral lists this ribosomal RNA (490 nucleotides) under uncultured bacterium. Its description in RNAcentral is "partial 16S ribosomal RNA". It matches the Rfam family "Bacterial small subunit ribosomal RNA", at positions 29 to 507 of the family's 1533-position model. The record is from RNAcentral.